GACGAACGCUGGCGGCGUGCUUAACACAUGCAAGUCGAGCGGUAAGGCCCUUUCGGGGGUACGACGAGCGGCGAACGGGUGAGUAACACGUGGGUGACCUGCCCUCAGCUCUGGGAUAAGCCUGGGAAACCGGGUACUAAUACCGGAUAUGACUCCAUGACGCAUGUUGUGGGGUGGAAAGCCUUGUGCGGCUGAGGAUGGGCCCGCGGCCUAUCAGCUUGUUGGUGGGGUGAUGGCCUACCAAGGCGACGACGGGUAGCCGGCCUGAGAGGGCGACCGGCCACACUGGGACUGAGACACGGCCCAGACUCCUACGGGAGGCAGCAGUGGGGAAUCUUGCGCAAUGGGCGAAAGCCUGAUCCAGCCAUGCCGCGUGAGUGAUGAAGG
RNAcentral lists this ribosomal RNA (387 nucleotides) under uncultured bacterium. Its description in RNAcentral is "bacterial SSU rRNA". It matches the Rfam family "Bacterial small subunit ribosomal RNA", at positions 28 to 414 of the family's 1533-position model. The record is from RNAcentral.